GAGUAGAUUUAAUAUAAGAACAUCACUGUUCAUUUAUAGGUUUUUUUUGUGUGUAAUUAUGCUAAUGCAUGUACAGUAACCUUUUAAAUUUCAGUUUCCUAAUGUUGGUUGUUAUGCUCAAUCACUUUUGUUUUUUUUUCCUCCUAAAGUCCCAAGACAAAGAAUAUCUCUUGAUACUAUUAAAUAUAGAUGUCUGGACUGAAUUGAGCUUACACGACAAUUGCAGUCAAGAUUCUGCAACUCAGAACGGGCAAACCAGUCUGAAUCAAUUUACCCUGUGAUCCUGUCUGCUGGGAAGCAUUGAAAUAGUAAGGAAGUCUGAUGUGCCUGCAGGUUAAUCCAGCUGUCUGGGUCACCUAAGCAUCAAGGGUGGAAAGGGAGACUGGAAGUGCAAGUCUGAAAGGAGAAAAAAGAAGGUGAAACCAGUCUGCAGGAGAAAUGACUGGGAAUUUAGAAGGAGUGGGCACCCACAAGAGAAGAGAAGACACGAAGUGAGAAAAGGCUGCUGCUUGCCAAGGCACUUUUAAGAACGGGACAUCUUAUCACUUUUCAGUUGUUUGAGCUUCUUGCUCCCCAGACUUUCAGCUAAAAUUGUGGCUGUUUUGUUGGCGGAAAUCAGUGAAAAGAAAAUGAGUUCUGUGUCUAGUUCAGUUUACAGCAGAGGCAAGACGAUGCCUGAAGCAGGUGGCAAGGAGUGAAAGGGGAGUGUGCAUGGAAGCAGCAGGUCAGAGCCAGAGUUUAUCAUGAAAGUCUGAGCCCUCGCAAACAUGGUUCAUGCACAACCCAUAAAAUUUCAUCAAACUCUCAGUCUCAAAAAUUUGUGUAGGAAGAGCCUGACAUGAAUGCUGCAAAUACAUGAUUAUUAUUCCUAGACAUAUCUAAGGGCAUCUAAAAUUAUAAAAUUUAUAGUGAUAUUGCUUAAAUUACAUUUUUGAAUAUCUCACUCAUACAUGUAUUACCUAUAUUAUUAUACUGUUAAUUAUACCUUCAUUGAUUUUUUUUAAAUUUUAUUCUUUUGUUUUAAGUUUAGAUGUGGAUGCAUUUUCUAAAAACUACAAGAUUACCCAAACAGAACCGAUUGAAUUUCAAGGUUAGGAAGUUUUUCUAAUAAUAAUUUAUGGUCCAAGUAUAAUGUGAUGAAGUGUGCUUGUAGGUACCAACCUGAGACUAUAUUUGGCAAGAGUUGAAUAAAAUAUGGGGGAAAUGAUUUCUAGCCUUGUUAGAAAUGCCCUCAGAAUGCAUUGUUAUUUCUAAAGAAUGCUGCAUUGUAUAUAUGCAGAUAUUUUUCAGCCAAAUCGCUGAAUUUGUAGAGAUUUCAUAUCACAUAAGAUUUGUUUCCAAUGCAUUUUCUUCUGAAACUAUAAGAAGACUAGCUUCUCUCUUAAUUUCUAAGAAAAAUGUUAUAAACCUUUAUUAUGAUGGUACAAUUUAUGAAACAAUGUAAAUUUUACAUUUUCACUUUUGAGAGUUAUUUUUCCCCAAGCCUCUGCCUUUUUUGAGUAUUUGCAAAGCUCUGCAAAUGACAGGCGCAUCCACAAUGCAAAGAAUAAUCUUCCUUUGGGGCUGUUCCUGGGGUAGUGAUUAGUAGCGUCUUCACUGAAUAUUUAACUUCCUCAAAACUGCUUAUCUGUGCUGUGGAUCAGUGCAAGAUCUGGGUGAGCUGUUGCUACUUUACAUAAUUAAGUUUCUCUUGCCAAAAAAAGAGAAAGUAACAAAAUAUGAAGCAAAAGAAGCCGAAAGUUGGACUUUUAAAACAUUCUCCCUUCAUGUUAUUUUCUCAUUGAAAAUAACCUGAAACAAAAGCAAAAUAUUUGAGAUUUAGGAGGGAGUUUAUGCAGAUCAGUCAGGUUGACAGCUCACAUUUUCUUGCAAAACUCUUAGGAAUUUUCCUCCGCAAAUCCCUCCGCAGUCAGUGAUAAGUACUAAAUGCCACAAAGAAAACAAUUUCCCAUUGUUCAAAAACUGACUGGUGAAGUAUUGUGGGUGAGGCAAAAAAGAGGGUAGGGAGAGAAAUUCUAUUGUAGGGAAACUAAUGCCAGACAGAGCUAUUAACUCAAAUGUACUGAAAUGAUAGAUAAUUCAAGCUUCUCAUGUCACUUUAAAUUAGUAAAAAAUCACUGCACAGGAUUUGUGCUUAAUCCCAUUUUUUAUAUGUAGAAAAUAGGCCCCAGAAUUAGGUUGACGUGUACUUUUAAUGUGUAGAUAGGACAUCUACUCACUUUCUAGGCAUGUGUGGAUGAAAAAGACUUUGCUUGCUUAGUUGCACGUCAUUCUUAGUUCCUUCUCUUUUGAGUGUGCUAGCGUACCCAAUGGAAUCCCCUCCCCUGUAUUUAUUGAACGCUAUAAUGUAUGGGGGUGUCUUUUCCUGGUUAGUGUAAUAGGAAAAAUUGCAUUUGCUUAUCUAUUGCAAAUGAAAAUCAUCUGGGGAAUAUAAAAAGCAUUUUCAAUUCUGCUACCAUUAUUUCAGAAGCAAUCAAAUGCAGAGGAAUGAAAGUCAAACACGGAGAAAAAUGCUGAUGGAUUGGGCAAUGUGCAUGGCUCUCUGGGACCAUCAUUAUUUCAGUAUUCAAGAGGAAAAUGCACAUUUGAAAGAUGGUAAAUUCCAUCACAUACAAUCAAUCAUUCAUCUCCUCUAGCAACAAUAAUUGUGGAGGAGAUAGUGUUCAGACAUUAACUAGGUAGUCAUCCCUGCUUGUUUGUUAGUUUGUUUCAAGGCAUACUAAAUCUUAUGCAACGUUAUGUGGACAUCUCAGAUGAUUUUCAGAUAUUGGUACUUAGUACCAAUCACCUGCAAAUAAUGAGGUCAAAGUAAACACUGCAACCUCAAAGGGCAAGAUGCUUAGCAUUGUCUUUCAUCUAAAACAUUUUGUCCUUUCAUUCCAGAUUUUAAAAAUAGGUUAUCUGCCUGCAUUUUAUGCAUUUUUCUAUCUUUAUAAUCUGAAGGUGAUUUUAUUAAUACAGUAAAUCUUGGUCAAGUGAUACUUUAGGAAGAUGCUUUUUCUGGGUAAACUAAAAGCCUGACGUGGCUCUUCCUGAUGUUCUUAAAUAUUUUAUUAGCAAUGUCUCUCCUCACCCCUUGCCUAUUCAUAGUCUCUUUCAGUUUAAUGAUAUAAAGCAGGUGGUAGGGUUGUCAAAACUGGGUUUCCAUUAGAAACAAUCUCUGGGAAUGUGGUGUAUUUUCUCCCUUAUUUUUCUCAUUAUUAGAUAUCUCAGGCUCAAAGGCCCAUAUGGCAGUUUGGAGAAAGAUAUGUCCUGUUCAAAACCAAUGUUCUGAGAGUUUGAGAGCCGUGAAAUCAGAUAUCAUAGUUUUUACACUUUUUCAAAGCUUUCAAUUGUGAAUUCUGGAUUUCUCUUUUUCUUUCGAACUCUGAAAAAAGCCCAAUCUCUAACAGCACCUCCCCUCCCACCCCCUUCUGGUACUGGCUGUAGCAGUACUUAGGAAGGGAAGAGUGUCUUACAGGAGGUGGAGACACAUUUAUACACCAGUCUUCAUGCUUGGGAAAAAGCGAUUUAGUCACUGUUAACUUCUUUAAUUAUUGAUGGUUCAGAAAAUGUUAUCUUUCUUAUCUUUUAUUUGUAACACUUUUCCCUAAAUAAAAGUGAGGCUGGAUAUUCAAAUUAUUAUUUAGUGCAAGAAACUAAAAAUAGCUUUCCCUCUUUUUAGAUUUUUUUUGACAACAGAGAUGAUACAUUAUAUG
Long non-coding RNA from Homo sapiens (human), 3698 nucleotides. The record is from Ensembl. NCBI's taxonomy places the organism in Eukaryota, Metazoa, Chordata, Mammalia, Primates, Hominidae.